RNAcentral lists this ribosomal RNA (466 nucleotides) under uncultured bacterium. Its description in RNAcentral is "partial 16S ribosomal RNA". It matches the Rfam family "Bacterial small subunit ribosomal RNA", at positions 28 to 505 of the family's 1533-position model. The record is from RNAcentral.
GACGAACGCUGGCGGCGUGCUUAACACAUGCAAGUCGAACGGAAAGGCCCUGCUUUUGUGGGGUGCUCGAGUGGCGAACGGGUGAGUAACACGUGAGUAACCUGCCCUUGACUUUGGGAUAACUUCAGGAAACUGGGGCUAAUACCGGAUAGGAGCUCCUGCUGCAUGGUGGGGGUUGGAAAGUUUCGGCGGUUGGGGAUGGACUCGCGGCUUAUCAGCUUGUUGGUGGGGUAGUGGCUUACCAAGGCUUUGACGGGUAGCCGGCCUGAGAGGGUGACCGGCCACAUUGGGACUGAGAUACGGCCCAGACUCCUACGGGAGGCAGCAGUGGGGAAUAUUGCACAAGGGGCGGAAGCCUGAUGCAGCAACGCCGCGUGCGGGAUGACGGCCUUCGGGUUGUAAACCGCUUUCGCCUGUGACGAAGCGUGAGUGACGGUAAGGGGUAAAGAAGCACCGGCGAACUACG